UUCCGAGAACCGAUCUGCAAAGUCCUG
RNAcentral lists this non-coding RNA (27 nucleotides) under Drosophila melanogaster (fruit fly). Lineage: Eukaryota; Metazoa; Arthropoda; Insecta; Diptera; Drosophilidae. The record is from RNAcentral.